This 253-nucleotide ribosomal RNA is filed under the name uncultured bacterium. Its description in RNAcentral is "partial 16S ribosomal RNA". It matches the Rfam family "Bacterial small subunit ribosomal RNA", at positions 524 to 776 of the family's 1533-position model. RNAcentral also lists the same sequence under 1 other name. The record is from RNAcentral.
UACGUAGGGGGCAAGCGUUAUCCGGAUUUACUGGGUGUAAAGGGAGCGUAGACGGCGGUGCAAGCCAGAUGUGAAAGCCCGGGGCUCAACCCCGGGACUGCAUUUGGAACUGUGCUGCUAGAGUGUCGGAGAGGCAGGCGGAAUUCCUAGUGUAGCGGUGAAAUGCGUAGAUAUCUGGAGGAACAUCAGUGGCGAAGGCGGCCACCUGGACCGGUAUUGACGCUGAGGCGCGAAAGCGUGGGGAGCAAACAGG